Molecule: ribosomal RNA, 996 nt
Filed under: uncultured bacterium
Lineage: Bacteria
Also listed under: 1 other name
Description: bacterial SSU rRNA
Rfam family: Bacterial small subunit ribosomal RNA
Source: RNAcentral
GGGGGAUAUUGCACAAUGGGGGAAACCCUGAUGCAGCGACGCCGCGUGGAGGAAGAAGGUUUUCGGAUUGUAAACUCCUGUCGUUAGGGACGAUAAUGACGGUACCUAACAAGAAAGCACCGGCUAACUACGUGCCAGCAGCCGCGGUAAAACGUAGGGUGCAAGCGUUGUCCGGAAUUACUGGGUGUAAAGGGAGCGCAGGCGGACCGGCAAGUUGGAAGUGAAAACUAUGGGCUCAACCCAUAAAUUGCUUUCAAAACUGCUGGCCUUGAGUAGUGCAGAGGUAGGUGGAAUUCCCGGUGUAGCGGUGGAAUGCGUAGAUAUCGGGAGGAACACCAGUGGCGAAGGCGACCUACUGGGCACCAACUGACGCUGAGGCUCGAAAGCAUGGGUAGCAAACAGGAUUAGAUACCCUGGUAGUCCAUGCCGUAAACGAUGAUUACUAGGUGUUGGAGGAUUGACCCCUUCAGUGCCGCAGUUAACACAAUAAGUAAUCCACCUGGGGAGUACGACCGCAAGGUUGAAACUCAAAGGAAUUGACGGGGGCCCGCACAAGCAGUGGAGUAUGUGGUUUAAUUCGAAGCAACGCGAAGAACCUUACCAGGUCUUGACAUCCGAUGCAUAGCUUAGAGAUAAGUGAAGUCCUUCGGGACAUCGAGACAGGUGGUGCAUGGUUGUCGUCAGCUCGUGUCGUGAGAUGUUGGGUUAAGUCCCGCAACGAGCGCAACCCUUAUUGCCAGUUACUACGAAAGAGGACUCUGGCGAGACUGCCGUUGACAAAACGGAGGAAGGUGGGGAUGACGUCAAAUCAUCAUGCCCUUUAUGACCUGGGCUACACACGUACUACAAUGGCGUUUAACAAAGAGAAGCAAGACCGCGAGGUGGAGCAAAACUCAAAAACAACGUCUCAGUUCAGAUUGCAGGCUGCAACUCGCCUGCAUGAAGUCGGAAUUGCUAGUAAUCGCGGAUCAGCAUGCCGCGGUGAAUACGUUCCCG